GUGAAAUUGUUGAAAGGGAAGCGCUUGCAGCCAGACUUGCCUGUAGUUGCUCAUCCGGGUUUUUACCCGGUGCACCCUUCUACGGGCAGGCCAGCAUCAGUUUGGGCGGUUGGAUAAAGGUCUCUGUCAUGUACCUCCUCUCGGGGAGAACUUAUAGGGGAGACGACAUGCAACCAGCCCGGACUGAGGUCCGCGCAUCUGCUAGGAUGCUGGCGUAAUGGCUGUAAGCGGCCCGUCUUGAAACACGGACCAAGGAGUCA
Molecule: ribosomal RNA, 260 nt
Filed under: uncultured fungus
Lineage: Eukaryota; Fungi
Description: partial 28S ribosomal RNA
Rfam family: Eukaryotic large subunit ribosomal RNA
Source: RNAcentral